Molecule: ribosomal RNA, 253 nt
Filed under: uncultured bacterium
Lineage: Bacteria
Description: partial 16S ribosomal RNA
Rfam family: Bacterial small subunit ribosomal RNA
Source: RNAcentral
UACGGGGGGGGCAAGCGUUGUUCGGAAUUACUGGGCGUAAAGGGCUCGUAGGCGGCCAACUAAGUCAUACGUGAAAUCCCUCGGCUUAACCGGGGAACUGCGUCUGAUACUGGAUGGCUUGAGAUUGGGAGAGGGAUGCGGAAUUCCAGGUGUAGCGGUGAAAUGCGUAGAUAUCUGGAGGAACACCGGUGGCGAAGGCGGCAUCCUGGACCGACACUGACACUGAGGAGCGAAAGCCAGGGGAGCAAACGGG